GAAACGCGGCUCUGGUGCCAAAUGAUACGAUCCUUGCCGAUCGAUCGAACACAACGCACGCGGAAGACUGAACUUGAACGGAAAGGAUGGAAAUCCCAAAACCUCUGAAUCUAACCCACGGAAUGAUAUAGGCGACUGAAUGCCCUAUACCCCAACGUGAAGUUGACGCAGCAACUCGGGGACGCUGAAUGACACCCGACGAGGGUUGGUUGACUCGCCGUUACGUCGAUAAUUGAAUUC
Molecule: long non-coding RNA, 240 nt
Filed under: Salvia miltiorrhiza (redroot sage)
Lineage: Eukaryota; Viridiplantae; Streptophyta; Magnoliopsida; Lamiales; Lamiaceae
Description: long non-coding RNA (SMIL_LNC001697)
Source: RNAcentral